UGGGGAUAUAACUCAGUGGCAGAGCAAUUGCCUAGCAUGUAGAAGGACCUGGGUUCCAUCCCCAGAACCACAA
This 73-nucleotide transfer RNA is filed under the name Marmota monax (woodchuck). Its description in RNAcentral is "tRNA.Ala". Lineage: Eukaryota; Metazoa; Chordata; Mammalia; Rodentia; Sciuridae. The record is from RNAcentral.